GGGGAUGCACCGGUUUCGACAGGGUGACAGACCCUGAGACAGCGGGUAGUGGAUUCUCGUUGGCCACUUUAAUAAACGAGAGUGCAAUCUAAUUGCAAACAAAAACUAUUCUUACGCUGCUGCUUGAUUUCAGCGCGUCAUCGCUCCGUUAGAUCUGCCUGACGGAAACUGCGGUGUCAACUGCAGACCUCACUUCCUAGAGGUUAAGGAAGGCAACCUGAUUACCUAAGCUUUGCCGUAAUCUUGUAUUUAUGAAGCUACCUAGCCGGAAAUUUUGCUUCUUUAGAGAUGGCCGGGGAAUAUUUUUGAAGAAGCUGCACCCGGAGAAGUUUCAGGCAAUGGUGCUUUGGACAGGGGUUCGAUUCCCCUCAUCUCCACCA
This 380-nucleotide transfer-messenger RNA is filed under the name Mageeibacillus indolicus UPII9-5. RNAcentral describes it as "Clostridiales genomosp. BVAB3 str. UPII9-5 transfer-messenger RNA". It matches the Rfam family "transfer-messenger RNA". From Rfam's summary of the family: Bacterial tmRNA, also known as 10Sa RNA or SsrA, is named for its dual tRNA and mRNA-like properties. Its role is to liberate the mRNA from a stalled ribosome. The record is from Rfam by way of RNAcentral. Lineage: Bacteria; Bacillati; Bacillota; Clostridia; Eubacteriales; Oscillospiraceae. RNAcentral also lists the same sequence under 1 other name.